This 324-nucleotide ribosomal RNA is filed under the name Enterobacter roggenkampii. RNAcentral describes it as "partial 23S ribosomal RNA". It matches the Rfam family "Bacterial large subunit ribosomal RNA", at positions 1569 to 1875 of the family's 2925-position model. Lineage: Bacteria; Pseudomonadati; Pseudomonadota; Gammaproteobacteria; Enterobacterales; Enterobacteriaceae. RNAcentral also lists the same sequence under 1 other name. The record is from RNAcentral.
ACGAGGCACUACGGUGCUGAAGUAACAAAUGCCCUGCUUCCAGGAAAAGCCUCUAAGCAUCAGGUAACAUCAAAUCGUACCCCAAACCGACACAGGUGGUCAGGUAGAGAAUACCAAGGCGCUUGAGAGAACUCGGGUGAAGGAACUAGGCAAAAUGGUGCCGUAACUUCGGGAGAAGGCACGCUGAUAUGUAGGUGAAGCCCCUGCGGGUGGAGCUGAAAUCAGUCGAAGAUACCAGCUGGCUGCAACUGUUUAUUAAAAACACAGCACUGUGCAAACACGAAAGUGGACGUAUACGGUGUGACGCCUGCCCGGUGCCGGAAG